GUGUCAGCAGCCGCGGUAAUACGUAGGGUGCAAGCAUUGUCCGGAUUUAUUGGGCGUAAAGAGCUCGUAGGCGGCUUGUCACGUCGGAUGUGAAAACUCGGGGCUCAACCCCGAGCCUGCAUUCGAUACGGGCUAGCUAGAGUGUUGCAGGGGAGACUGGAAUUCCUGGUGUAGCGGUGAAAUGCGCAGAUAUCAGGAGGAACACCGGUGGCGAAGGCGGGUCUCUGGGCAACUACUGACGCUGAGGAGCGAAAGCGUGGGGAGCGAACAGGAUUAGAAACCCGUGUAGUCC
RNAcentral lists this ribosomal RNA (292 nucleotides) under uncultured bacterium. RNAcentral describes it as "partial 16S ribosomal RNA". It matches the Rfam family "Bacterial small subunit ribosomal RNA", at positions 505 to 796 of the family's 1533-position model. The record is from RNAcentral.